CUUGACCUCAAAUCGGGUGAGACUACCCGCUGAACUUAAGCAUAU
This 45-nucleotide ribosomal RNA is filed under the name Gymnomyces sp. JLF2502. RNAcentral's name for it is "partial 28S ribosomal RNA". The record is from RNAcentral. Lineage: Eukaryota; Fungi; Basidiomycota; Agaricomycetes; Russulales; Russulaceae.